UACGGAGGGUGCGAGCGUUGUUCGGAAUUAUUGGGCGUAAAGCGCACGUAGGCGGCUCGGUAAGUCUCACUGUGAAAGCCCGGGGCUCAACCCCGGGAGGCCAGGGGAUACUGCGGAGCUGGAGACAGGCAGAGGCGGGUGGAAUUCCGGGUGUAGCGGUGGAAUGCGUAGAGAUCCGGAGGGACAUCUGAGGCGAAGGCGGCCAGCUGGGCCUGAUCUGACGCUGAGGUGCGAAAGUGUGGGGAGCGAACAGG
Molecule: unclassified non-coding RNA, 254 nt
Filed under: uncultured Gemmatimonadota bacterium
Lineage: Bacteria; Pseudomonadati; Gemmatimonadota
Description: uncultured Gemmatimonadetes bacterium contains 16S-23S intergenic spacer region
Rfam family: Bacterial small subunit ribosomal RNA
Source: RNAcentral